RNAcentral lists this ribosomal RNA (400 nucleotides) under uncultured bacterium. Its description in RNAcentral is "bacterial SSU rRNA". It matches the Rfam family "Bacterial small subunit ribosomal RNA", at positions 29 to 416 of the family's 1533-position model. The record is from RNAcentral.
AAUCAACGCUGGCGGCGUGCCUAACACAUGCAAGUCGAACGCGAAAGGGGCUUCGGCCCUGAGUAGAGUGGCGAACGGGUGAGUAACACGUGGGUGAUCUACCUCUGAGUGGGGGAUAACGUUCCGAAAGGAACGCUAAUACCGCAUGACGUUCCGGGUUUGGAGACCUGGAAACCAAAGCCGGGGACCGCAAGGCCUGGUGCUUGGAGAGGAGCCCGCGCCUGAUUAGCUAGUUGGUGAGGUAANGGCUCACCAAGGCAACGAUCAGUAGCCGGCCUGAGAGGGCGGACGGCCACACUGGGACUGAGACACGGCCCAGACUCCUACGGGAGCAGCAGUGGGGAAUUGUUCGCAAUGGGCGCAAGCCUGACGACGCAACGCCGCGUGGAGGAUGAAGGUC